Molecule: ribosomal RNA, 505 nt
Filed under: uncultured bacterium
Lineage: Bacteria
Description: partial 16S ribosomal RNA
Rfam family: Bacterial small subunit ribosomal RNA
Source: RNAcentral
GACGAACGCUGGCGGCGUGCCUAAUACAUGCAAGUAGAACGCACAGUUUAUACCGUAGCUUGCUACACCAUAGACUGUGAGUUGCGAACGGGUGAGUAACGCGUAGGUAACCUGCCUGGUAGCGGGGGAUAACUAUUGGAAACGAUAGCUAAUACCGCAUAAUAUUGAUUAUUGCAUGAUAAUUGAUUGAAAGAUGCUAUUGCAUCACUACCAGAUGGACCUGCGUUGUACUAGCUAGUAGGUGAGGUAACGGCUCACCUAGGCGACGAUACAUAGCCGACCUGAGAGGGUGAUCGGCCACACUGGGACUGAGACACGGCCCAGACUCCUACGGGAGGCAGCAGUAGGGAAUCUUCGGCAAUGGACGAAAGUCUGACCGAGCAACGCCGCGUGAGUGAAGAAGGUUUUCGGAUCGUAAAGCUCUGUUGUAAGAGAAGAACGGGUGUGAGAGUGGAAAGUUCACACUGUGACGGUAUCUUACCAGAAAGGGACGGCUAACUACGUA